CUGGUCUCAUCGGGGUGCCCACGGUGAUCUGCCGUGCGGCUGAGAAAUUCUACCCGCUGAACCUGAUCCGGUUAGCACCGGCGUAGGGAGUGGGAUGGGCAAGGUC
This 106-nucleotide non-coding RNA is filed under the name Marinospirillum alkaliphilum. Its description in RNAcentral is "TPP sequence". It matches the Rfam family "TPP riboswitch aptamer (THI element)". From Rfam's summary of the family: Vitamin B(1) in its active form thiamin pyrophosphate (TPP) is an essential coenzyme that is synthesised by coupling of pyrimidine and thiazole moieties in bacteria. The previously detected thiamin-regulatory element, thi box was extended, resulting in a new, highly conserved RNA secondary structure, the THI element, which is widely distributed in eubacteria and also occurs in some archaea. Analysis of operon structures identified a large number of new candidate thiamin-regulated genes, mostly transporters, in various prokaryotic organisms. The record is from RNAcentral. Lineage: Bacteria; Pseudomonadati; Pseudomonadota; Gammaproteobacteria; Oceanospirillales; Oceanospirillaceae. RNAcentral also lists the same sequence under 1 other name.